UGGUGGACAGAUUUGGCUGCUUGCAACCACCCAUAAAAAAUGCUAAAAU
Molecule: non-coding RNA, 49 nt
Filed under: human gut metagenome
Also listed under: 1 other name
Source: RNAcentral